UAAUACAGAGGCCACAAGCGUUAAUCGGAAUCACUGGGCUUAAAGGGUGCGUAGGCGGACCGGCAAGCGUCUUGUGAAAUCCCACGGCUCAACCGUGGAACAGCAGGGCGAACUGCCGGUCUUGAGGAAGGUAGGGGCUGCCAGAACAGUAGGUGGAGCGGUGAAAUGCGUAGAGAUCUACUGGAAUGCCGAUGGUGAAGACGGGCAGCUGGGCCUUUCCUGACGCUGAGGCACGAAAGCGUGGGGAGCAAACAGGAUUAGAUACCCUGGUAGUCCACGCCGUAAACGAUGUACGCUAGAUCGGUGCAGGUCUGACCCUGUAUCGGUCGACGUGAAAACGAUAAGCGUACCGCCUGGGGAGUACGGUCGCAAGGCUA
Molecule: ribosomal RNA, 377 nt
Filed under: uncultured bacterium
Lineage: Bacteria
Description: bacterial SSU rRNA
Rfam family: Bacterial small subunit ribosomal RNA
Source: RNAcentral